Molecule: transfer RNA, 72 nt
Filed under: Bos taurus (domestic cattle)
Lineage: Eukaryota; Metazoa; Chordata; Mammalia; Artiodactyla; Bovidae
Also listed under: 5 other names
Rfam family: tRNA
About the family: Transfer RNA (tRNA) molecules are approximately 80 nucleotides in length. Their secondary structure includes four short double-helical elements and three loops (D, anti-codon, and T loops).
Source: Rfam by way of RNAcentral
CCAAAUUUAGUUCAAAUGGUAAAGAAAUCUGCCUGCAAUGCAGAAGAUUAGGGUUCAAUCCCUGGGUCAGGA